CAGCCGCCACGGUAAUACGGAGGGUGCAAGCGUUAUCCGGAUUCACUGGGUUUAAAGGGUGCGUAGGCGGAUCUGUAAGUCAGUGGUGAAAUCUCCAGGCUUAACCUGGAAACUGCCGUUGAUACUAUAGGUCUUGAAUUUUGUGGAGGUUAGCGGAAUAUGUCAUGUAGCGGUGAAAUGCACAGAUAUGACAUAGAACACCAAUUGCGAAGGCAGCUGGCUACACAACUAUUGACGCUGAGGCACGAAAGCGUGGGGAUCAAACAGGAUUAGAUACCCCGGUAGUCCCUGUCUCUUAUAA
RNAcentral lists this ribosomal RNA (301 nucleotides) under uncultured bacterium. RNAcentral describes it as "partial 16S ribosomal RNA". It matches the Rfam family "Bacterial small subunit ribosomal RNA", at positions 509 to 809 of the family's 1533-position model. The record is from RNAcentral.